GGUUUCCUCUUGGCCUGAACUUGGCUGACCUCCGCAGCUUCCGCCCGACUCUGGCUAAAGUCUUGGAGGCUACUGCCUGAAGAUGACCUCUAGGGACCAGCCCAGCCCCAAGGGCCCCCCAAAAAGCACUUCGCCUCGUCCUGGGAUCUCGAACUCUGAGAGCUCUCCAACGCUGAAUUAUCAGGGCAUUCUAAAUCGGCUCAAGCAGUUCCCCAGGUUUUCUCCUCAUUUUGCUACGGAGUUGGAGAGCAUUUACUACUCGCUGCACAAGAUCCAGCAGGAUGUGGCAGAACACCACAAGCAGAUAGGAAACUUCUUACAGAUUGUGGAGAGCUGCAGCCAACUCCAGGGUUUCCAGUCUGAGGAGGUCUCACCUGCUGAAGCAGCCAGCCCUGGGACGCCCCGGCAGGCGGAGGACAAGACCCGGCAGGAGUCGAGCUUUGAGGACAUGAUGGCCACCAGGUCCUCUGACUGGCUCCGGCGGCCUUUGGGGGAGGACAAUCAGCCAGAGACCCAGCUGUUCUGGGACAAGGAGCCUUGGUUUUGGCACGACACUCUGACCGAGCAACUCUGGCGGAUUUUUGCCGGCGUCCACGAUGAGAAGGCAAAGCCCAGAGACAGACAGCAGGCACCAGGCCUGGGGCAGGAAAGCAAGGCACCAGGAUCCUGUGACCCAGGAACAGACCCAUGUCCCGAAGAUGCCUCCACCCCCAGGCCACCUGAGACCUCCUCCAGCCCCCCUGAGGGUUCCCAAGACAAGAACACAAGUUGGGGUGUGGUCCAG
This 784-nucleotide small RNA is filed under the name Pongo abelii (Sumatran orangutan). RNAcentral's name for it is "processed transcript". Lineage: Eukaryota; Metazoa; Chordata; Mammalia; Primates; Hominidae. The record is from RNAcentral.